Molecule: ribosomal RNA, 253 nt
Filed under: uncultured bacterium
Lineage: Bacteria
Description: partial 16S ribosomal RNA
Rfam family: Bacterial small subunit ribosomal RNA
Source: RNAcentral
UACGUAGGGGGCAAGCGUUGUCCGGAUUUAUUGGGCGUAAAGAGCGUGUAGGCGGCCUUACAGGUCAGCUGUGAAAACUCGAGGCUCAACCUCGAGACGUCGGUUGAAACCGUAAGGCUAGAGUCCGGAAGAGGAGAGUGGAAUUCCCGGUGUAGCGGUGAAAUGCGCAGAUAUCGGGAAGAACACCCGUGGCGAAGGCAGCCUCCUGGGCCAGCACUGACGCUCAUGCGCGAAAGCCAGGGGAGCGAACGGG